CACCAGUGAACUCUAAUAAUAACUGGAAGGCUAAGUCAGGGGGGGAAGUUGAAGCCGUGCUUGAAGCUUUUUUGUAGGUAGACCCAGUCCUUUUUAAUUUUUUUUUUCAAAAUAUGCACAUUUUUCGAUCAGAAAAAUCUUGCCCCAAAAUAUUAGUUAUACUACCAAAUUUAAUUUAUAUCAGUAGUAUUAUAAAUGAAUUUAAUAUUCGCAAAGCAAACAAAUCACGAAUUAGCAAAAAAAUGCGAAAAAACACGGCCAUAAGCUUGAACGGUCAGAAAAACCGCGCGUUUUGGGCUGCUUUUUCUGAGUUUUUGGAAGUUUAAGAUAAAACUAAGACGUCAUACCUCAGGAAUUAUUUAAACCCAUGCAAAAUACAUCUGUAUGCGAAGUUUCAAGAAGAUUGAACGUUUUAAGGUCGAAAAAAAAAGCAUUUGAAAAUUGACAAAAAUAUUGCCAUAUUCAAAGUGCUCAUAGUGGCCAACAACAUGCCGAUGACGAAAAUAACAUCACUUGAAAAACGCCAAUUUAUUUAUGUUUAAGAGCGACUAAAACAAGGACUAAAAGCUCAGGAUCAAUAACAAUACCUGGGGUUUAGUACAACAUAAGUUUUGGGACUGGCAAAAUGUUUUAUAGUAUAUAUUUUUUAGUUGAACGGCGAGAUUUCCUUCGGCACAUCCAAACUUUCGUCAUUUUUUCAAAAUACAAAAGCAAAAUUCCUUACUUUUUGCUGCAGAGAGAUGUAAAACAGUCGGAACUAAUCGGAAACUUGGUUUAAAUCCUAAGUCAUUGUUGUAUUCCCAUGGGAAAAGUGUUUUUCUUGCAAAUUUUUGCUCGAAAACAAACUUUUGACAGAAUUUUUUUCACUCCUCGAAACUCUCCUUAGUCCUUUUGAAAGCUGAUUUUCCCGCGCGCCGGCUUCAACGAA
Molecule: non-coding RNA, 928 nt
Organism: Paramuricea clavata
Lineage: Eukaryota; Metazoa; Cnidaria; Anthozoa; Malacalcyonacea; Plexauridae
Source: the annotation of a GenBank genome assembly